Molecule: ribosomal RNA, 490 nt
Filed under: uncultured bacterium
Lineage: Bacteria
Description: partial 16S ribosomal RNA
Rfam family: Bacterial small subunit ribosomal RNA
Source: RNAcentral
GAUGAACGCUCGCUACAGGCUUAACACAUGCAAGUCGCGGGGCAGCAUGGGGGUUGCUUGCAAUCCCCGAUGGCGACCGGCGCACGGGUGAGUAACGCGUAUCCAACCUGCCCUUCACCACGGGAUAACCCGGCGAAAGUCGGACUAAUACCGUAUGUUGUCCAUUGACGGCAUCCGAUUUGGACGAAAGGUUUGGCGGGGAAGGAUGGGGAUGCGUCCGAUUAGCUGGACGGCGGGGUGACGGCCCACCGUGGCGACGAUCGGUAGGGGUUCUGAGAGGAAGGUCCCCCACACUGGAACUGAGACACGGUCCAGACUCCUACGGGAGGCAGCAGUGAGGAAUAUUGGUCAAUGGGCGUAAGCCUGAACCAGCCAAGUAGCGUGCAGGAUGACGGCCCUAUGGGUUGUAAACUGCUUUUAUGCGGGGAUAAAGUGGCCCACGUGUGGGUUUUUGCAGGUACCGCAUGAAUAAGGACCGGCUAAUUCCGUG